RNAcentral lists this ribosomal RNA (426 nucleotides) under uncultured bacterium. Its description in RNAcentral is "bacterial SSU rRNA". It matches the Rfam family "Bacterial small subunit ribosomal RNA", at positions 354 to 796 of the family's 1533-position model. The record is from RNAcentral.
GUGGGGGAUAUUGCACAAUGGGCGAAAGCCUGAUGCAGCAACGCCGCGUGAGGGAAGACGGUUUUCGGAUUGUAAACCUCUGUUCUAAGUGACGAAGAAUGACGGUAGCUUAGGAGGAAGCCCCGGCUAACUACGUGCCAGCAGCCGCGGUAAUACGUAGGGGGCAAGCGUUGUCCGGAAUUACUGGGUGUAAAGGGAGCGCAGGCGGAGAAGCAAGUCAGUGGUGAAAGGUAUGGGCUUAACCCAUAGACUGCCAUUGAAACUGUUUUCCUUGAGUGAAGUAGAGGCAGGCGGAAUUCCGAGUGUAGCGGUGAAAUGCGUAGAUAUUCGGAGGAACACCAGUGGCGAAGGCGGCCUGCUGGGCUUUAACUGACGCUGAGGCUCGAAAGUGUGGGGAGCAAACAGGAUUAGAAACCCUAGUAGUCC